Molecule: unclassified non-coding RNA, 251 nt
Filed under: plant metagenome
Description: partial contains small subunit ribosomal RNA, internal transcribed spacer 1, and 5.8S ribosomal RNA
Rfam family: 5.8S ribosomal RNA (bases 203-251)
Source: RNAcentral
UAUCCGUAGGUGAACCUGCGGAAGGAUCAUUAAAGAGAUCAUGCCCUCACGGGUAGACCUCCCACCCUUUGUUUACAAUACCUUUGUUGCUUUGGCGGGCCCGUUUGGCCCCGCGCUGAACAACCGGCCCCGGCUGGUCAGUGCCCGCCAGAGAACCGAAAACUCUGAAUUAAAUGUCGUCUGAGUACUAUGUAAUAGUUAAAACUUUCAACAACGGAUCUCUUGGUUCUGGGAUCGAUGAAGAACGCAGC